Stylophora pistillata is the source of this 592-nucleotide long non-coding RNA. NCBI's taxonomy places the organism in Eukaryota, Metazoa, Cnidaria, Anthozoa, Scleractinia, Pocilloporidae. The record is from RefSeq and is a predicted model, not a curated record.
UCUUUCGUCUCAUUUCCAUUUUAUGAUUCCUCGUGGUUAGAACUGUUUUACGUCGUAGGAAAGAAAGAACAAGGAAAAAUGGUCAGUUAAUCAAGUCUUUCUUCUAAACAAGGAGAGAAACAACGUGGAGACAUUACUCUUUUUACUUGAAUUUGACUUGGACCAACUUGACAAGUUUUCCAUGUCAAUACAGAACACAAGAUGAACUGAUAUGAAUGAGGAAUCUUAAAUCGAGCAUGGGAGUGAAAAGGAACACAAGAAAAAAAGGCAAGAAUUACGUAAAGUCCUGAUGUCCUGGCGACACGCCUUGUUGAUGGUGGACCACAAGCUUGGAGAGUCAAGACAAGAUUGAACUAAAGAAAAAGUAGCUCAGUUAUUGGAGAGAGUUGAAAUCAAUGUUAAAGGUACCAACUGUAACUUGCACCUAGCGACUACGUUUCCUGCAGAACUAAUUUGGUCACGAAUUGCUGAAAAAAAUGGCCUUAAAAUUUAUUUGAGAGCACAGAUCAGAUUUUUCAAAGUUAAGCAAGUUUAAAUUGUCAGGUGAAGAGCAAAUUUUCUGUUUCAUUUCAAGUUCAUAUCGUUUGGGAAG